Molecule: non-coding RNA, 118 nt
Organism: Plectosphaerella plurivora
Lineage: Eukaryota; Fungi; Ascomycota; Sordariomycetes; Glomerellales; Plectosphaerellaceae
Source: the annotation of a GenBank genome assembly
GGCGAGGUGGCCGAGUGGUUAAGGCGAUAGACUAGAAUGAUGCCCCUGUCGUCAGACAUGCACCUCCUCUUGAUAUCUAUUGGGUUCGCCCGCGUAGGUUCAAAUCCUGCCCUCGUCG